Long non-coding RNA from Protopterus annectens (West African lungfish), 126 nucleotides. RefSeq lists it as uncharacterized. The transcript is spliced from 3 exons. Lineage: Eukaryota; Metazoa; Chordata; Ceratodontiformes; Protopteridae. The record is from RefSeq and is a predicted model, not a curated record.
GCUCAGAGAUCAAAGAAACAGACUAUGCAACUUCUCAGACUAAGACUGAAAAGUCAGCAAAAAAGAAAAAGAAAAACAAAGAAAAUUCAGACUUUGAAGAAGCAGACUUUACGACUCCAUCAUCUU